ACGGGAGGAGCUCGAACGCCUUGGGGGCUGGGAUUCCAGGCAGCGGAGAGAUUCGUUGUCAUGGGAACACUGGGCUCACCCGCGCUCGCCCCGCCUCAAGCCUGAGCUUUCCUCUCCCUUUCCUGCCCAACCCUCCUCCCGCCUUCCUCUCCUCCCCUCCCCUCCCUUCUCCUCCCUCUCCUCCCCCCAGUCAGGGACUCGAGCUGUGGUCGUGUCUCCCGUGCAGCUGCAGCGCCCCAACAUAUGACAGUAAAACGCAGCUGCCGAAACUUCUUUCGCCACUGUGCUAGGAUCGGCCCGAUGCCGGCCUCCGAAGAGGUCAUAGACCAAUCGAUGAGUCGGGAGCCUGACCCAGGUGUGGAAAGUACAGAAAAUAUAGUAAUGAAGCUCUGUUUAUACGUAACCUUUCAUCUCUGGAGACAAAGUAAAAUAAACACAAGAAGGAGAUUCAGAGACAAUAUUACUGAACCACAGCUUAUAAAGGAAAAGAAUUUCCCAGGCAGGAUAAUUUCACGUUCUACCCUUCUAGCAGAAAAGGGAAGAUCUGGGCAGCACUAGCCUUGGAGGCUGCCUCAACAGUAACCCCAAAUUUGAGAGUUCAUGGAUUGGAACUUCCUGAGAAUAAAGAGGACUUCCUGAAAACUGUCCAUCUUGGAGAAAGAAGAGGAUUAUCUUUGUGACCCCUGCAACUGGAGAAUAGUAAGGGACUUAAAACCAUGAUUAUUUUAAGGCAAGAGAUUGGGACUUAUCACCACAACUAUUAUAGUGAGUUCAUAGGAUCAUAGAGUCAUAGAUUUAGAGUUGUAAGGGAUCUUAAAGCCAUCUAGUCCAGCCUCCUCAUUAUAGAAAGAACUGAGGCCCAGGAAUGUUAAGCAAAUUGCCAGAAGUCCUACAGGUUGUAAACAGACCCAGGAUUUGAAUAUAGGACCUCUGACUCCGAAUUCAGUGUUCUUUCUACUACAUUAUGCUGAUAAUAAAAAUCUGAUGGAAAAGGGGUUUUUCUGUAUAGCAGUUUCCAAGUGUAUUUGCCUUCCAAUUGGUUGGUCAAACUAUGGGGAGUAUUGUGAAUCUGGGAGGGACUAUAUGAAGCCUAUAGAAAUCUAGGGAGUCACCAGAAUGUUAAAUUACUACUCCACAGACAACCCUAAAUUUAAUUUCUGCUAAGGUGAACUUUUGCCAGUGCUUUAUGUGUUUACUCUAUUUGUAGCCACUUGAGUCCUUUCAGCACUUUAUAUAUUUUCUGUAUUUGUUUAUGGGUUCUUAUGAGUCCUUUGCAUCUUCAUUUUCUGUAGGAUAAUGAAGACUAUCCUAUAUUUAAUAUGCUUUUAUUACCUUGAGUGCAUUUAUGGAUGCUGGGGACCCCUUUUACCCAUAUCUGUGAAAAUCUAGGCUCAAAUUAUAUUUGGAAAUUUCUCAGAAUAAACUCUGGGUAAGGGCAUAACACGCCAAAGAAGAAUGGCCCUUUUUUUAGGCCCCUUGGAUUAGACCCAGUCUUUGUGAUUGCAGAAUCUUAGAGGAGGGGCCAGGGUCAUGGCUUACAUAUUUAUUGAUAUUCUUGAUAUAAAUGAAACCAGAAUACAUAAGGAAGUUGCUACUAAAAGGAACGAUUAUUCACAAGUUCUUCUUAAAGAAGCAAAUAAAGAAAAAAACCAAAACAAGACAAAAGAAGCAAAUAAAGAAUUGGUUUCUUAUGCAACAUAAAUAAGGCAAGAAGAAGUACCAUGGAAUGUUUGGUCGUCUCUUCUUGCACUCAUGAUAAAUGUAAAGAAAAGACAACAAAAAAGAUCACUGUACCAUAUAUGACAUCUAUUGCAGAGGAUGAAGAGAGAUACUUGAUGAAAUCCUCCAAACCAAGUCAACAUAUACAUUGACACUCAGCACUUUUAAUACAACUGUAUCCAUGUGAAGAUGGUGAAUUCCAUCAAUCAAUAAAGGAAAGUAGUAAAAAUAGUCAAGUAGUAAAGAAUAAUAAAGAAUUAAAUAGAAGGAACCAAAGGUUUUAGACCUAUUUAGAAGUAUUAUUCCUAUGUGUCAUGAACACGUUUCAAAAAAUGAGUCAGAAGGCACUGACCAUGGCAAGGGCUAAAUAACCUGACAAAAAAAUUAAAUAAAAAACUUUUAAUUACUGAUUAGAGGUAAUAUUGCACAGUGCAUAGAGUACUACAUGUGCUAUCAGGACACCUGAGGUCAGAUCUUGCCUUAGACAUUUAAUAGCAUGGACAAAUCACUUAAUUUCUCAUGUCCUUACUUUCUUCAUUUGUAAAAUAGGAUUAAUAAUACUUUUACUGUCUACCCCACAGAAUUGUUUUGAGGAAAGCACCUUGAAGACCUUUUAUAAUGUGUUUAUUGAUGUGUGAAUCAUAUCAGAAUCAAAUACCCAUAUACUGUCAGGCCAUUAACUAAAAAAAGUCAUAAUUAACACCACAUUAGAAAAAAGGAUAAAGAUGAGAAGACAUGGCAUACAAUCACAAUAACACCAACUUGACUUAUGCAAACAACCUAUUAACACUAAAAUUGGGAAAAGACAUUAAAUGUGAUUAUCCUCAUUUCCUAUAGAAAUAUACCAAUACAAAGUAAUUGCAAAAAUGGAGUGAUGUAGUAUGGAGAAGAUUAAGAGAUUCUUUAGGAUGUGUGAAGAAAUUUCUUAUUAAAUCUGGUGGAUUUAUAGGAAGGCUGGCCAUUAGAUGGCUAAAGAAUCAACAACACCACUUGUGACCUUAAAAAGCUCUAAGGAGUCCAUCACGCAUGGCCAUCUAGAAGAGAUCCAACUAUGGAUGAAAAAUUCAGUUCUUGAGAGAGAAUCAUUCUUUAGCUUUUCCUUAGCCUUUCCAGAUUUUAGCUGACAGGAGGAAAUUUCUC
Molecule: non-coding RNA, 2859 nt
Organism: Phascolarctos cinereus (koala)
Lineage: Eukaryota; Metazoa; Chordata; Mammalia; Diprotodontia; Phascolarctidae
Source: RefSeq, a predicted model, not a curated record